Molecule: ribosomal RNA, 253 nt
Filed under: uncultured bacterium
Lineage: Bacteria
Description: partial 16S ribosomal RNA
Rfam family: Bacterial small subunit ribosomal RNA
Source: RNAcentral
UACGGAGGGUGCAAGCAUUAAUCGGAUUUAUUGGGCGUAAAGGGCGUGUAGGCGGGUUAUUAAGUCGAAUGUGAAAUACCAAAGCUCAACUUUGGGGCUGCAUUUGAAACUAAUAAUCUGGAGGAUUGGCGGAGAAAAUGGAAUUCCACGUGUAGCGGUGAAAUGCGUAGAUAUGUGGAAGAACACCGGUGGCGAAAGCGGUUUUCUAGCUUAUUCCUGACGCUGAGGCGCGAGAGCAAGGGGAGCAAACAGG